CAAGUCGAACGGCAGCACGGGUGCUUGCACCUGAUGGCGAGUGGCGAACGGGUGAGUAAUACAUCGGAACGUACCUUAUCGUGGGGGAUAACGCAGCGAAAGCUGUGCUAAUACCGCAUACGCCCUGAGGGGGAAAGCGGGGGAUCGCAAGACCUCGCGCGAUUAGAGCGGCCGAUGCCUGAUUAGCUUGUUGGUGGGGUAAAAGCCCACCAAGGCGACGAUCAGUAGCUGGUCUGAGAGGACGAUCAGCCACACUGGGACUGAGACACGGCCCAGACUCCUACGGGAGGCAGCAGUGGGGAAUUUUGGACAAUGGGGGCAACCCUGAUCCAGCAAUGCCGCGUGAGUGAAGAAGGCCUUCGGGUUGUAAAGCUCUUUUGUCAGGGAAGAAACACCGGCUCUAACACAGUCCGGGAAUGACGGUACCUGAAGAAUAAGCACCGGCUAACUACGUGCCAGCAGCCGCGGUAAUACGUAGGGUGCGAGCGUUAAUCGGAAUUACUGGGCGUAAAGCGUGCGCAGGCGGUUAUGUAAGACAGGCGUGAAAUCCCCGGGCUUAACCUGGGAAUUGCGCUUGUGACUGCAUAGCUAGAGUAUGUCAGAGGGGGGUAGAAUUCCACGUGUAGCAGUGAAAUGCGUAGAGAUGUGGAGGAAUACCAAUGGCGAAGGCAGCCCCCUGGGAUAAUACUGACGCUCAUGCACGAAAGCGUGGGGAGCAAACAGGAUUAGAUACCCUGGUAGUCCACGCCCUAAACGAUGCUGACUAGUUGUUCGGGAAUUUAUUCCUGAGUAACGUAGCUAACGCGUGAAGUCAGCCGCCUGGGGAGUACGGUCGCAAGAUUAAAACUCAAAGGAAUUGACGGG
This 864-nucleotide ribosomal RNA is filed under the name uncultured bacterium. Its description in RNAcentral is "bacterial SSU rRNA". It matches the Rfam family "Bacterial small subunit ribosomal RNA", at positions 58 to 917 of the family's 1533-position model. The record is from RNAcentral.